UAGACGGAUGCUCACUGGUUAGAGCAUUUAGCUGUUAACUAAAAGUUUGUAGGAUCAAGGCCUUCCCGUCUAG
Molecule: transfer RNA, 73 nt
Filed under: Nothobranchius thierryi (Togo killifish)
Lineage: Eukaryota; Metazoa; Chordata; Actinopteri; Cyprinodontiformes; Nothobranchiidae
Description: tRNA-Asn
Rfam family: tRNA
About the family: Transfer RNA (tRNA) molecules are approximately 80 nucleotides in length. Their secondary structure includes four short double-helical elements and three loops (D, anti-codon, and T loops).
Source: RNAcentral